UACGUAGGGGGCGAGCGUUGUCCGGAAUCAUUGGGCGUAAAGCGCGUGUAGGCGGUCCGGUAAGUCCGCUGUGAAAGUCGGGGGCUCAACCCUCGGAUGCCGGUGGAUACUGUCGGGCUUGAGUACGGAAGAGGCGAGUGGAAUUCCUGGUGUAGCGGUGAAAUGCGCAGAUAUCAGGAGGAACACCAAUUGCGAAGGCAGCUCGCUGGGACGUUACUGACGCUGAGACGCGAAAGCGUGGGGAGCGAAUGGG
This 253-nucleotide ribosomal RNA is filed under the name uncultured bacterium. RNAcentral's name for it is "partial 16S ribosomal RNA". It matches the Rfam family "Bacterial small subunit ribosomal RNA", at positions 524 to 776 of the family's 1533-position model. The record is from RNAcentral.